GUAUUGUAUUGCGUUAAACGCGUCAUGCAUUCCAUGAGACUUUGUUACAGAGUGUGUGUAAAGACGUAGAACCACGACAGGAGGACAGAGCCCCCCAUGCCACAGAGCUACAGAGGGUGCACAGGUGUGAGUGGAUGUGUAAACAGAGCGUGCACAUGCCCCCGUUUGAGGACCAGCAACAACUCGUGUUGACAAUUUGGUAAUGAUCCUUCCGCAGGUUCACCUACGGAAA
Molecule: unclassified non-coding RNA, 232 nt
Filed under: uncultured fungus
Lineage: Eukaryota; Fungi
Description: sequence contains ITS1
Source: RNAcentral